AGCAGCCGCGGUAAUUCCAGCUCUAAUAGCGUAUAUUAAAGUUGUUGCAGUUAAAAAGCUCGUAGUUGAAUUUCGGGAUCAGUAUGUUGGUCGUGCUUCGGUACGUACUGUCAUUACUGGUUUCUACCUUCUGAAGAACCUUGAUGUCAUUAAUUUGGUGUCUUGGGGAAUCAGGACUGUUACUUUGAAAAAAUUAGAGUGUUUAAAGCAAGCAUACGCUUGAAUACAUUAGCAUGGAAUAAUGAAAUAGGACGUUUGAUUCUAUUUUGUUGGUUUCUAGGAUCGACGUAAUGAUUAAUAGGGAUAGUUGGGGGCAUUAGUAUUCAAUUGUCAGAGGUGAAAUUCUUGGAUUUAUUGAAGACUAACUACUGCGAAAGCAUUUGCCAAGGAUGUUUUCAUUAAUCAAGAACGAAAGUUAGGGGAUCGAAGACGAUCAGAUACCGUCGUAGUCUUAACCAUAAACUAUGCCGACUAGGGAUCGGAUGAUGUUAUUUUUAAUGACUCAUUCGGCGCCUUAAC
RNAcentral lists this ribosomal RNA (519 nucleotides) under uncultured Glomus. RNAcentral describes it as "SSU rRNA". It matches the Rfam family "Eukaryotic small subunit ribosomal RNA", at positions 569 to 1092 of the family's 1831-position model. Lineage: Eukaryota; Fungi; Glomeromycota; Glomeromycetes; Glomerales; Glomeraceae. The record is from RNAcentral.